GGGUGGGCCGUGACGAUUAAAAAAGCAUAGUUCAUCUGACUUUUUUCAGUGAAGAACUAGCUCACAAGCAAAUGUCUUUCGCUCCUAUCCGAGCCCCGAU
This 100-nucleotide small nucleolar RNA is filed under the name Ectocarpus siliculosus. RNAcentral's name for it is "Small nucleolar RNA snR60/Z15/Z230/Z193/J17". It matches the Rfam family "Small nucleolar RNA snR60/Z15/Z230/Z193/J17". Rfam says of the family: The members of this family belong to the C/D class of snoRNAs which contain the C (UGAUGA) and D (CUGA) box motifs. Most of the members of the box C/D family function in directing site-specific 2'-O-methylation of substrate RNAs. The record is from Rfam by way of RNAcentral. Lineage: Eukaryota; Phaeophyceae; Ectocarpales; Ectocarpaceae.